GUCAAGACAGUGGUCAUCUGUUGUGCAUUUUAAAGAAACAAUUUUAAAAGGAGCUGAGGACACAUUGAAAUCACAAAAUCUUUCUCAGGUGACCAGCAGUUCUCUAGUCAGUCUGGCACUGCUGGAAAGUCUCACUGCUGAACAACUGCUGCAGCGUUAUAUCUCUUUACGAUCUGAUGCUCUGCGUGCUGUUCUGUCUAGUCAUCAAACUCUGGACAGUGAUGCCAUCAAACAGCGACUCUGUCAUAGUUACACUCUUCUCAUUCAUUCUAUUACUGCCAUAUCAGACUGCUUUGUAGGUAAAGUACUUACCUUCCUUUCUUGUGUGAUAUUUUGGAUCCAUAUGUUAAAAGAAAAAGCUAUAUGACAGCUUAAAUAAAAUAUAUUUUUAGA
Homalodisca vitripennis (glassy-winged sharpshooter) is the source of this 393-nucleotide long non-coding RNA. RefSeq lists it as uncharacterized. The transcript has 2 exons. NCBI's taxonomy places the organism in Eukaryota, Metazoa, Arthropoda, Insecta, Hemiptera, Cicadellidae. The record is from RefSeq and is a predicted model, not a curated record.